Phrynosoma platyrhinos (Desert horned lizard) is the source of this 72-nucleotide non-coding RNA. Lineage: Eukaryota; Metazoa; Chordata; Lepidosauria; Squamata; Phrynosomatidae. The record is from the annotation of a GenBank genome assembly.
GACACUGUGGCACAGAGGUUUGAGUGUUGGACUAUGACUCUGGAGACCAGGGUUCGAAUCCCACCUUGGCCA